AAGGCCUUACCAAGGCUUGACAUACGCCGGAAAGCAUCAGAGAUGGUGCCCCCCUUGUGGUCGGUGUACAGGUGGUGCAUGGCUGUCGUCAGCUCGUGUCGUGAGAUGUUGGGUUAAGUCCCGCAACGAGCGCAACCCUUGUCCUGUGUUGCCAGCAUGCCCUUCGGGGUGAUGGGGACUCACAGGAGACCGCCGGGGUCAACUCGGAGGAAGGUGGGGACGACGUCAAGUCAUCAUGCCCCUUAUGUCUUGGGCUGCACACGUGCUACAAUGGCAGGUACAAUGAGCUGCGAAACCGUGAGGUGGAGCGAAUCUCAAAAAGCCUGUCUCAGUUCGGAUUGGGGUCUGCAACUCGACCCCAUGAAGUCGGAGUUGCUAGUAAUCGCAGAUCAGCAUGC
This 398-nucleotide ribosomal RNA is filed under the name Streptomyces sp. MSI6. Its description in RNAcentral is "bacterial SSU rRNA". It matches the Rfam family "Bacterial small subunit ribosomal RNA", at positions 965 to 1357 of the family's 1533-position model. Lineage: Bacteria; Bacillati; Actinomycetota; Actinomycetes; Kitasatosporales; Streptomycetaceae. The record is from RNAcentral.